RNAcentral lists this non-coding RNA (24 nucleotides) under Mus musculus (house mouse). Lineage: Eukaryota; Metazoa; Chordata; Mammalia; Rodentia; Muridae. The record is from RNAcentral.
CCCUCUAUCAGCAGGCGUGGGAGA